RNAcentral lists this small RNA (289 nucleotides) under Devosia sp. Root413D1. Its description in RNAcentral is "5' ureB small RNA". It matches the Rfam family "5' ureB small RNA". The record is from Rfam by way of RNAcentral. Lineage: Bacteria; Pseudomonadati; Pseudomonadota; Alphaproteobacteria; Hyphomicrobiales; Devosiaceae.
CUUCUUCGAUCUGCUGCGGGGCGAUGAAAUGGAUAUGCGCAUCCAUGCCGCCGGCGGUGAUGAUGCGGCCCUCCGAGGCGAUCACCUCGGUCGAUGGCCCGAUGAUGAUGUCGACAUUGGGCUGGGUGUCGGGGUUGCCGGCCUUGCCGAUGGCGUGGAUCCGCCCGUCGCGGAGGCCAAUGUCGGCCUUGUAGAUGCCGGUGUGAUCGAUGAUCAGCGCAUUGGUGAUCACCGUAUCGACAGCUCCCGCGGCGCGGGUAACCUGGCUUUGGCCCAUGCCGUCGCGGAU